This 429-nucleotide ribosomal RNA is filed under the name bacterium. RNAcentral describes it as "partial 16S ribosomal RNA". It matches the Rfam family "Bacterial small subunit ribosomal RNA", at positions 355 to 776 of the family's 1533-position model. The record is from RNAcentral.
UAGGGAAUCUUCGGCAAUGGGGGCAACCCUGACCGAGCAACGCCGCGUGAGUGAAGAAGGUUUUCGGAUCGUAAAGCUCUGUUGUAAGAGAAGAACGUGUGUGAGAGUGGAAAGUUCACACAGUGACGGUAACUUACCAGAAAGGGACGGCUAACUACGUGCCAGCAGCCGCGGUAAUACGUAGGUCCCGAGCGUUGUCCGGAUUUAUUGGGCGUAAAGCGAGCGCAGGCGGUUUAAUAAGUCUGAAGUUAAAGGCAGUGGCUUAACCAUUGUUCGCUUUGGAAACUGUUAAACUUGAGUGCAGAAGGGGAGAGUGGAAUUCCAUGUGUAGCGGUGAAAUUCGUAGAUAUAUGGAGGAACACCGGUGGCGAAAGCGGCUCUCUGGUCUGUAAUUGACGCUGAGGCUCGAAAGCGUGGGGAGCAAACAGG